Molecule: ribosomal RNA, 465 nt
Filed under: uncultured Actinobacillus sp.
Lineage: Bacteria; Pseudomonadati; Pseudomonadota; Gammaproteobacteria; Pasteurellales; Pasteurellaceae
Description: bacterial SSU rRNA
Rfam family: Bacterial small subunit ribosomal RNA
Source: RNAcentral
CCUACGGGAGGCAGCAGUGGGGAAUAUUGCACAAUGGGGGGAACCCUGAUGCAGCCAUGCCGCGUGAAUGAAGAAGGCCUUCGGGUUGUAAAGUUCUUUCGGUGACGAGGAAGGUUGGUAUGUUAAUAGCAUAUCAAAUUGACGUUAAUCACAGAAGAAGCACCGGCUAACUCCGUGCCAGCAGCCGCGGUAAUACGGGGGGUGCGAGCGUUAAUCGGAAUAACUGGGCGUAAAGGGCACGCAGGCGGUGACUUAAGUGAGAUGUGAAAGCCCCGGGCUUAACCUGGGAAUUGCAUUUCAUACUGGGUCGCUAGAGUACUUUAGGGAGGGGUAGAAUUCCACGUGUAGCGGUGAAAUGCGUAGAGAUGUGGAGGAAUACCGAAGGCGAAGGCAGCCCCUUGGGAAUGUACUGACGCUCAUGUGCGAAAGCGUGGGGAGCAAACAGGAUUAGAUACCCCAGUAGUC